UUUAAUUUUUAACUAAACGUCUUAUUCAAAAAUUUUUUGCGAUUGAUAUUUUUGUUUUUAUUAGAUGAUAAAUCAUGAAUAGUACUUGUGACUUUUUUUUUAAUUUUCUAAAAGUUUUUCAAAUAAGACGAAUGAUCAAACGUUGAACACGGAAACCGAAG
Molecule: microRNA precursor, 161 nt
Filed under: Oryza brachyantha (malo sina)
Lineage: Eukaryota; Viridiplantae; Streptophyta; Magnoliopsida; Poales; Poaceae
Description: MIR812 microRNA precursor family
Rfam family: MIR812 microRNA precursor family
Source: Rfam by way of RNAcentral